CGGUACAUUUAACAUCAAGCCCCCAACAAUGGCUUCAACAAGGCCCUACCACAUCUAAACAUUGCUAGAUUUCUCUCUGACCAGUUUAGCCGCGCUCGACCAGCAAAAGUCGAACAAUUGAAAGUUGUAUAUUUUCCAUCAUGCUCAGCAGUCAGAACUGGGGCUGCGAGGGGUACGACACUCGGCGUAAGAAGGUUGCUAUGGUGCUUCGGUGAGGAGUUUUACUAGUUGAGGUUUCCCAAGGGGACGCUACUGAGAAGCUGGCUCACCAAGUCCCGGCCCAGACUGCUGCUGCUCAUCGCGGGGUUGAAAAGGCCUCAGGUGACCCUCAUGCGGAGGAAAAGGAUGAAGCGCACGAAAGUAGCAAAGGCCACAUCAUGCAUCGGCCACUUGGACACUGAAAAACUGGUCCAAGCUAUCAUUUUAUCUAGGCUGGACUACUGUAAAGUUAUCCUCACUGGCUCUCAUGAUGAAACCAUCAACAAACUAAGAACCUGCAAUCGAAUGCCGCAUUUCAGUUGAGGCUUUGGCAAAGAGGAUCUCCCCACCUGAGUUAGAUAUGAAAGACGAAGACAUGGAAGAACUACGUUUUGAAUCUUUGUCAAAGCAACGAACUAAAAGCCAAAGCAAACAGAAAAGGGGUUUAGCGUCUUUUGUGAAAACAAGGGACCUGCAACAUAGAUCUAGACCCCCUGAUUAAUCGAGAUCUUCUCCUACACGCCCAUUUGUAUAUCACUUCAAAUACAAAUUUGUUAUGGUUCAUUAUAGUACAAUGAGUGUGACUUGUACAUUAUUUACAUCCAGUGGCACACAUUUAGUUUAACAGAACUAUCGCUGUGUUCUUAGGAUAGAUCUUUUCCAGUCAGAGAAUGAUUUGUUUCACAUAAGCACAUUUGUGUUUGAGUGGGUGAAUAAGAAAAUAGUGCCACUCUGUGGCUAGCAGGUGCAAAUAUCUAAACCACAAGUAGGUACACAGCAUUAAUGCAACUCUGGGCCAAUGAAAGGGUCACCAUUAAUGCAACUCUGGGCCAAUGAAAGGGUCACCAUUAAUGCAACUCUGGGCCAAUGAAAGGGUCACCAUUAAUGCAACUCU
Molecule: long non-coding RNA, 1093 nt
Organism: Oncorhynchus tshawytscha (Chinook salmon)
Lineage: Eukaryota; Metazoa; Chordata; Actinopteri; Salmoniformes; Salmonidae
Source: Ensembl